AGAGUGAACGCUGGCGGUAGGCCUAACACAUGCAAGUCGAACGGCAGCACAGUAGGAGCUUGCUCUUACGGGUGGCGAGUGGCGGACGGGUGAGGAAUACAUCGGAAUCUACCUUUUGGUGGGGAUAACGUAGGGAAGCUUACGCUAAUACCGCAUACGCCCUUCGGGGGAAAGCCGGGACCAGCAAUGGCCUGGCGCUGAUAGAUGAGCCGAUGUCGGAUUAGCUAGUUGGUGAGGUAAUGGCUCACCAAGGCGACGAUCCGUAGCUGGUCUGGAGGAGAUGACUCGACGACCACUACGUA
This 302-nucleotide ribosomal RNA is filed under the name uncultured soil bacterium. Its description in RNAcentral is "bacterial SSU rRNA". It matches the Rfam family "Bacterial small subunit ribosomal RNA", at positions 26 to 317 of the family's 1533-position model. The record is from RNAcentral.